CCAACAUCUCUCUCUCACCUCUCAAAUUUUUCUAUCAACUCCAUCAAACGUCAACCUUAACAUCUCUCUCUCACCUCUCAAACUCUCUUCCGUAGCUCUCUCUCAACCUUUCACUCUCGUCUUCUCGGCCAAACACCACAAAAUACCACCGCCACAUCAAAACUCCACCAGGACCCAGCAAACGCUCUCAUAACUACCUGGGAGUCUCUGCAACUUAUUGGUCUGUCACACUCGGAGGAAAACGAAAAUUUCGUUCUUAAUAUUAUCGAAAUCCAAGCAACUGAAUCGUCUCCGUAAGGUUUCGUUUCUCACUCUCAAACUCCCUCUAGAGUAUUCUGUGAAUAUUCUUAGCAAGCAUGCUUGUUUUUACUGAAGAACUUAAUUUUCUCCGCAUAAAAUCCGACGUAAAUUUUUUGCUCGAAUAAACCCAUUAACUAAACUCUACAUAAGCAAUGCAUUAAUUAUGUUCGACUUUACCCAUUUAAAAUUUUUCGGAUGCCUAAAACGCCCUUAUUGAAUGUUUAAUGUACAGAAUUAAUUCUAUGCAAAUUAUAAAGGAAAAUUAAUAAAAAAAUGUCGUACCCAGUGCACAAUGCUCCCGCUUUACGCAGGAUGAUUUUACAAAAAUAAUAUUUUGCAUAUAAAUGUAGGGAUUUGUUGGUGUAAGACGACUUCCCACAACCCCUAGACUACAGAAUUGAACUUGCAUGUUCGAAUAUCCCUCGAUCUAGAAAGUUCGAAUUUGGCAGUGGCUUAUAGGCCAUUUUCCGAGCACCUUCGGCCAACCGUUGGUCCCCAAAGUGGUAUAAACGUGUUGAUACGUCUUGUGCAUAAAAUGGUUGAGAAAUGACUGUUGUGUUAAUUUGGAAUAUUCCAGCGGAAAUUCUGUUCUCGAGCAGACUAAAGGAAAUUAGGUUUAUUACAUUAAUUAUUAUUAGUUUAAUAAUUAGCGUAGUAAUUUUCUGUGUUGGAGAGGAGAGCCCGGAGAAGUAUCGCGGGCAGAAUAGUUAGGCAGUUAUGAUUUACAUGGACUUGUGAGUCUUUUCAUUUUUACCCGUGUAUAUAUUUAUAUAUAUAUAUAUGUGUGUGAUUUUUUUCUCGACAACCGUUUUUAUAUACUAUGAUAACAUGCUAUGUUUAUUCUUAUAAAUGGACUUUGCAUACACUUUAUGUUUAUAAUAUAAUUUGUGAGCAUGAACUUGUGGCGUAACAUUCUUGCGUUUUAUCUUCGUAUUAUUAUAUAUUUGCACGGUGUCUCUUAAUUAUUUGCAUUGUUGUGGGCCAAUGAGUACCUUCACAUGUAGUUCAAAUGCACUAUUACAUUCGCUUUAGAUCCAAAAUUAGGUACCAGCUUGUCCUUUUGUGUGAUGUUUUAGGCUCGUACGUGAUACGACUAGCGCAACUCACGUGAUGUAAUACCAAAAUAUAAAACCUACACCCAGCCUGUUUCAUGAAUAUCUUUGCAAUGGAAUUGUGUCUAUAUAAAUUAAUGAACAUUGAUUUAUUGUGAUAAUGAAUUAAGAUUUGAUAUUGAGAUACCUUGUUGUAGGGUCUACAUCUUUUGAUUCACUUGUGUUGCAGAUUACCUAUUACAUACUAUUAUUAUAGUAUUUUUAAGAGGUAUGUACUUGUUUUACAGUGGGGUUACACAUUUUCGAAAAUGGUCUACAAAAUUUUAUUUUUCAAUCCCACUCACAUUUGUUUUUCUCAUUUCCAGGAUAUUAGUGGCAAAGAGUUUUGUGACGACGAUGAUUGCUGGUAAAACCUGUUAUGUGGGAGACUUCUCAUCUCGGUAUAAAUGUUCUUAUUAUUAUUU
This 1816-nucleotide long non-coding RNA is filed under the name Malus domestica (apple). RNAcentral describes it as "long non-coding RNA (MDOM_LNC007241)". The record is from RNAcentral. Lineage: Eukaryota; Viridiplantae; Streptophyta; Magnoliopsida; Rosales; Rosaceae.